UACGUAGGGGGCAAGCGUUGUCCGGAAUCAUUGGGCGUAAAGCGCGUGUAGGCGGUCCGGUAAGUCCGCUGUGAAAGUCGGGGGCUUAACUCUCGGAUGCCGGUGGAUACUGUCGGGCUUGAGUACGGAAGAGGCGAGUGGAAUUCCUGGUGUAGCGGUGAAAUGCGCAGAUAUCAGGAGGAACACCAAUUGCGAAGGCAGCUCGCUGGGACGUUACUGACGCUGAGACGCGAAAGCGUGGGGAGCAAACAGG
RNAcentral lists this ribosomal RNA (253 nucleotides) under uncultured bacterium. Its description in RNAcentral is "partial 16S ribosomal RNA". It matches the Rfam family "Bacterial small subunit ribosomal RNA", at positions 524 to 776 of the family's 1533-position model. The record is from RNAcentral.